RNAcentral lists this long non-coding RNA (395 nucleotides) under Mytilus galloprovincialis (Mediterranean mussel). The record is from RNAcentral. Lineage: Eukaryota; Metazoa; Mollusca; Bivalvia; Mytilida; Mytilidae.
AAAUUUAUUGUAAAUUUAGAUUUUUUAUCCAAUUUCACGGUCCAUUGGACAUGAAAAUUGAUAGUGCGAGUGGGGCAUCUGUGUACUUCGGACACAUUCUUGUUUUAUGUUUCUGUUUUUAUAUUUUUAUGUAGGUUGCAAAAUUGCAGCCACAUGAUUUUUAAAAUUUUUAAGAAAUAACGAAGUCAGUGUGGGACCACUAAGCUUAACUGCCUGGUUUGCACCAGCCUGUAUAAGUGAAUGCCUAGGAUGGGAAUCGACUAACGUACACCAAAUCUGCUGUCUAUUUUUAAAAUGAACAAAUAUAUGCAUCCUAAACAAAUUUGUUAAGAUUAAAAUAUAUAUAUAGAGAAUAUCAUAUGUUUUUUUCAAUAUCGCAUCCGUAUCAACCUGAG